AGUGAACGCUGGCGGUAGGCCUAACACAUGCAAGUCGAACGGCAGCACAGUAAGAGCUUGCUCUUACGGGUGGCGAGUGGCGGACGGGUGAGGAGUACAUCGGAAUCUACUUUUUCGAGGGGGCUAACGUAGGGAAACUUACGCUAAUACCGCAUAGGACCUACGGGUGAAAGCAUGGGAUCUUCGGACCUUGCGCGAUUGAAUGAGCCGAUGUCGGAUUAGCUAGUUGGCGGGGUAAAGGCCCACCAAGGCGACGAUCCGUAGCUGGUCUGAGAGGAUGAUCAGCCACACUGGAACUGAGACACGGUCCAGACUCCUACGGGAGGCAGCAGUGGGGAAUAUUGGACAAUGGGCGAAAGCCUGAUCCAGCCAUGCCGCGUGGGUGAAGAAGGUCUUCGGAUUGUAAAGCCCUUUUGUUUGGGAAGAAGGGCAGCAAGUUAAUACCUCGCUGUUCUGACGGUACCCAAAGAAUAAGCACCGGCUAACUUCGUG
This 492-nucleotide ribosomal RNA is filed under the name uncultured bacterium. Its description in RNAcentral is "partial 16S ribosomal RNA". It matches the Rfam family "Bacterial small subunit ribosomal RNA", at positions 29 to 507 of the family's 1533-position model. The record is from RNAcentral.